CCCCUAGACGUUCUGGGCUGCACGCGCGCUACAAUAAUACGCACAGCGAGUAUCACCGAGCUCGAAAGGGCAAGGUAAACAAUAGAAAAGGUACUGUAAUGGUUAUAGAUCCUUGUAAUUAUUGAUCUUCAACGAGGAAUUCCUAGUAAGUACGUGUCAUCAUCACGCACUGAUUACGUCCCUGCCCUUUGUACACACCGCCCGUCGCUCCUACCGAUUGAGUGAGCCGAUGAAACUGCCGGAUGUGGACUAUUCAUAGUCUGCAGAAGAUAUUUGAAUCGUAGCGCUUAGAGGAAGGAGAAGUCGUAACA
Molecule: ribosomal RNA, 311 nt
Filed under: uncultured eukaryote
Lineage: Eukaryota
Description: partial 18S ribosomal RNA
Rfam family: Eukaryotic small subunit ribosomal RNA
Source: RNAcentral